RNA transcript from Lagopus leucura (white-tailed ptarmigan), 3774 nucleotides. It is a transcript of the gene named LTO1 maturation factor of ABCE1, with no coding region annotated. NCBI's taxonomy places the organism in Eukaryota, Metazoa, Chordata, Aves, Galliformes, Phasianidae. The record is from RefSeq and is a predicted model, not a curated record. The transcript has 7 exons.
CGGCCCCUUGUGUGGCGGCGCGAUGGCGGCCCCGUCCCAGGGUUCGGACAUGUUUGAUGAGAUCGUGAUGGCCGAUGACAGGUUUCACGGGGAGGGCUACCAGGAGGGGUACGCCGAGGGCAGCCAGGCGGGGGCUGCUGAGGGGCGGAGGUGCGGCGGCCUGCAUGGCGCCAAAAUCGGCGCUGAGAUUGGCAGCUACCUUGGAUUUGCACUGACCUGGCAGUGUCUGCUCCCAAAAUGUACAGAUGAAAAGAACAGUAAAAAGAUAAGGGCUCUGGAUUCAUUAAUAGGAAUGAUUCAGAAGUUCCCAUAUGAAGACCCCACUUAUGAAAAGCUUCAAGAUGAUCUGGAAAAAAUCAGAGGAAAAUUUAAACAGCUCGUGCCAGGUCAGUCAGAGAGAGCAGAGCUAAUCAAGGUCUGAUUUGAGUGGCCAGCCUUUGGCUUUCAGACUGCUGUUUAAUUACCUACAAGCAAAUACGGCUUUUGCAAUCGUCCCAACUCGGCUCAGGGUUUCCUCUGCGCUGUCAGAUACACCUCUCAAGAACACCAGAGCUGGACGUGGCGUUCCUAUCAGCAAACUGCAGCACUGUAACUGCCGGUUAUUAAUGGCCGUAACGAUAGCACAGAACGGGGACGAACACCAGCGAGCAUCUUCAGGAAAUGCACUCUGAGGUUUGACCUUUAUCGAGAUUUACUGCCAGAUUAGCGACUGCGCAGCAAGCAGGCAUUCGUUCUUAAACUCUAAGGCAGAAGGAUCAACUGAGAAGAGUCACUUACCGGAUCACAUUUGAUAACUUGUGAUAGGAAAUGUGUGAGGCAUUGAUAGGAGAGGAAAGUGUUAGUGUUCCCCAGAUGCAGGCCUUGCACAGCUGCUACCACACUGCCAGCUGCGAUCAUGGAAGGUGGGUUUGAAAUAAAUUUAACAUCUGUAUGAAGAAAGAAGAGGGGAAAAAAAAAAAGAAAAAAAAAGACUGAAAUGAUUGCUGUAGAAGCCUGCCCAUACGCAUACGCUCUCUUCUCCCAGCAUGGCUUCAGCUGCCAGCUGCUGCACCCAAACGCCGGUGCUUCCCGCUCCGAGCUGCCACAGGCCCCGACCUGCCAGCACUGGUCCGGGCGGGCAGCCCGCUGUGCACGACGCCUGGUGGCCCACCAUCACCUGCAGACCUCAGUGUCCCAGCACUUUGCUUGUAAUGGUGCAGCGCCGCAGGGGAAACCCGCUCCCAUUCCCCAGUAUUGUGCACCACCAAGCCCUAGGUGUGCUCCGAGCGGAGUCCCUGGGCCGUCUCAAGCACUGACAUUCAAAGGAAUAUGGCUUUAAUGAACAGCGACAUCAGUAAAAAGAAAGGAAGAGAGAGACCGCUUAGCCCUGUCAGGAGGCAGAUAAUCCAUAUUUAAAUUAAGGUUUCAUCUUAAAAAUGCUUUGUCUCGACCUAGUCUCUUGUCAGUGGCUGCCAUCCAUCCCGGCAACAGGGAUUUAAUGUAAAUGUGGCAUAACUAAGUGACGGGGGUCCCAAGAAUUGGCGGACAAUCAGUUACAUUCUGAUGUGACACCAUGCUGACAAGAGGCUGGGCCCCCUUCCAGACUGCAGUGCUGUAGGUCUCUCCACAAAGCCACUCCCAUGAUUCCUUAAGGGGCUAUCUCUGCCAUUUAGCAUGGUUUGGGUGCGUUUUUUAAUAAGAAUAAUCCACGUUUUAAUGCUAAGACUCUUUCCGCUGAACAGGAAUGCGUUUGAUGUGUGGCAGCAUACACCUUGGAGGGGAAUCGAAAAGAAAAGGAAAAAGCGGCGCAAAACAAACAUCUGAUUUUGUGAGGAAGAAAGGGAAAUGCCACAUUAUACGCGAGAACCUGAGAUACAUUCCUUCAGCUUUUAUCAGAACACAACUUCCUCUGGGCUGAAAAAAUAUAAACCAUCUGUCAAACCCCUGAAUGAAAUCAAAGGAAUGGACAGCUUAGAGAGCUCAGUGGAACAGUCACAAAGACAUCCUUUGGUGAAAAUGGAUUUCUCGAAACUGAACCAAAUCAAACAAAUCCACUUCUACCAGCCAGGCAAGCGAAGAGAGAGCUCAGAAGGAAUUCCCCUCCACUUCACCUUGCGACGUAACCUUCUCGUUCUGGAGCAAGCACGCAUGCACACUCAUCCACAAACACUUCCACAGCAUUCACCUUGCUAAGCCAACUGGCAGAGAUCUUACUUUUUAGGCCAGCAUUAUUUUGCUGCCUCCUCUCAGGAGCCCCUCCUUCAGGAGGGACACGGGCUGUGCACUUCAAGCAGAGGACAUACUGAGCUCACCCCCGAGGCCACUUCAGCGAGUUUCACAGCGUUUCUAAUGGACUUUGGAUUGGGCCCCACAGCACAGCAUCCAGGCAACACAAGGCAUUUGCAGUCCAUCUAGGUUCAUUUUGGCAGGGGGAAAUACAACUGCAAAGCAAAGUCCAGAUGCUACUUAAGCCACAUGUUAUAUUCACUAGCCAACAAAGAAGUUGUGGGGAAAGCAAGAGGUAGAGAAAAUCCCAACAUCCAAAAAUAACAAUAAAAAUACAGAGCCCAGCGACAGCCCUUCUGUGUGCAUUUUCCCCAGGAAAUAUUCCCAACUUGAGUAGGGAGCCAAAGAAGGCCCCAGUUCCGGUGAGCUCAGCACUGUUUUUCAAAAGCUAAGUAGAACUCCCAGAACAUGGCUCUCAUUUACUGAUGCAUUCUCCAGCUGUGGUUUGUACCAGCGUUAAAUUAAGCCUCUAGAUGUGCUUCCUAGAAGGAAAUAUAACAACACCAACAGUAGAUCAAAGUACUGGACCCUUAGCGAGUCUCCAACCUUUGGACUACUCUUGUUUUCAUCCCUGUCAUUGCCAACACAACAACCUAGGUUAACUGUCCCCAUAUCCAAGGGGAGGCUGAGGUAGCAUCAAAAUCAGCAAGUUACACGUUCAGAGUCCCAGCAGCUUUACCUGGUGGGAUCUGCCAUGGAGAGCAUGUCUGAUUUUCCCGUGGUGCUUCUGCAGGUGGCGUGAAUGCUGCUGGGGGGCUGCACGCCCCAAUCCCGGAACAGUGCUUCUGCAGUGGGAGCCGCCCCACCACGCCGGGUGAUGCCAGUGCUUAUAGACGUCCCAUGAGGGCUCGGUUCUGUCUCUGGGCCUCUAUCAGUAGGCUCUGUGUAACCCGUGUUUUCUUCUCUUCUGAGUACCUGCAGAUGUCUCUUGAAUCUUUUUGCCAAGUCCGUAUCUGGAAAACGAGCUCCCCUAACUGGGCUGACCACACAUCCCACCAAGGUUUCCCAGGUGCCACUGCAGGCUUGAUAUCUUCCACACGGCCACUAACAAAUAUUAGCGUUUAAUGCAGCACAGUAUCUCCUUUGCACUACGUUUUAUCGGUGCUAACAGCAUCUGGCAUUCCUCUUUACGUGCUACUGCAAAAGAACAUUUGCUUUGGCUGCUUUUUCUUCCUUAUUCCUUUGCCAUUCGUGGAUUUGUCUCGUCAUACUGACAGCCAAGGCACCGAACGCGCCGCAUUUGAGCAGAGGAUCUAUGUUCCCUCCAGGACUUCUUUUGUCCUGCUCCUCCGCUCCGGUCUGUGGGAACCGCGAGAUCUGGAGGACAGCUUUUCCUUCCCGCUCUGCCAGGGUUCAGCGGGUGAAGCCGGCGCACGCACAAACGCACACACACACUCCGCAUGCAAACACGGAACUUCAAAGCCACGGCGCGCACAGGCACGGUGCCCUUGAAACCAACGAUCGGGGCCCUGCGGACCCAGCCUGGCGAGCGCCUGCACGGGGCCCUGC